UGUGGGAGCGAGCUUGCUCGCGAAGGCGUCAGCUCAGUCGGUAUCAAUGUUGUCUGACACUCCGCUAUCGCGAGCAAGCUCGCUCCCACA
This 90-nucleotide non-coding RNA is filed under the name Pseudomonas fluorescens. The record is from RNAcentral. Lineage: Bacteria; Pseudomonadati; Pseudomonadota; Gammaproteobacteria; Pseudomonadales; Pseudomonadaceae.